UGGGGAAUAUUGGACAAUGGGUGAGAGCCUGAUCCAGCCAUGCCGCGUGCAGGAAGAAGGCGUUAUGCGUUGUAAACUGCUUUUGCCAGGGGAUAAAAAGACCGUGCGCGGUUAAUUGAAGGUACCUGGUGAAUAAGCCACGGCUAACUACGUGCCAGCAGCCGCGGUAAUACGUAGGUGGCAAGCGUUGUCCGGAUUUAUUGGGUUUAAAGGGUGCGUAGGUGGCCCUGUAAGUCAGUGGUGAAAUACCUCAGCUUAACUGAGAGGGUGCCAUUGAUACUGCAGGGCUUGAGUACAGAUGAGGUAGGCGGAAUUGACGGUGUAGCGGUGAAAUGCAUAGAUAUCGUCAAGAACACCGAUAGCGAAGGCAGCUUACCAAGCUGUAACUGACACUGAGGCACGAAAGUGUGGGGAUCAAACAGGAUUAGAUACCCCAGUAGUCCCUGAGCGGGCUGGCAAGGCGCAU
Molecule: ribosomal RNA, 466 nt
Filed under: uncultured bacterium
Lineage: Bacteria
Description: bacterial SSU rRNA
Rfam family: Bacterial small subunit ribosomal RNA
Source: RNAcentral